RNAcentral lists this ribosomal RNA (273 nucleotides) under uncultured bacterium. RNAcentral describes it as "partial 16S ribosomal RNA". It matches the Rfam family "Bacterial small subunit ribosomal RNA", at positions 524 to 796 of the family's 1533-position model. The record is from RNAcentral.
UACGUAGGGUGCGAGCGUUAAUCGGAAUUACUGGGCGUAAAGCGUGCGCAGGCUGUUUGGUAAGUCAGAUGUGAAAUCCCCGAGCUCAACUUGGGAACUGCGUUUGAAACUACCAGACUAGAAUAUGUCAGAGGGGGGUAGAAUUCCACGUGUAGCAGUGAAAUGCGUAGAGAUGUGGAGGAAUACCGAUGGCGAAGGCAGCCCCCUGGGAUAAUAUUGACGCUCAUGCACGAAAGCGUGGGGAGCGAACAGGAUUAGAUACCCGGGUAGUCC